UAAAGAUACCCAUUUGAGAAGUGCGAUU
RNAcentral lists this small RNA (28 nucleotides) under Bombyx mori (domestic silkworm). Its description in RNAcentral is "ovarian small RNA-18301". Lineage: Eukaryota; Metazoa; Arthropoda; Insecta; Lepidoptera; Bombycidae. The record is from RNAcentral.